RNAcentral lists this ribosomal RNA (496 nucleotides) under uncultured bacterium. Its description in RNAcentral is "partial 16S ribosomal RNA". It matches the Rfam family "Bacterial small subunit ribosomal RNA", at positions 28 to 506 of the family's 1533-position model. The record is from RNAcentral.
GAUGAACGCUGGCGGCGUGCCUAAUACAUGCAAGUCGAGCGAACAGACGAGGAGCUUGCUCCGCUGACGUUAGCGGCGGACGGGUGAGUAACACGUGGAUAACCUACCUAUAAGACUGGGAUAACUUCGGGAAACCGGAGCUAAUACCGGAGAAUAUAUUGAACCGCAGGGUUGAAUAGUGAAAGACGGUGUUGCUGGAACGAAUAGAUGGAUCCGCGCCGCAUUAGCUAGUUGGUAAGGUAACGGCUUACCAAGGCAACGAUGCGUAGCCGACCUGAGGGGGUGUUCGGCCCCUCUGGAGCUGAGCCGCGGUCCAGACUCCUACGGGCGGCAGCGGUAGGGACUCUUGCGCACUGGGCGAAAGCCUGCCGGAGGAACGCCGCGUGAGUGAUGAAGCUCUUCGGGUCGUAAAACUCUGUUCUUGGUGAAGAACACAUGUGUAUGUAACGAUGCGCGUCUGGCCGGUACCUAUACAGAAGGCCCCGGCUACCUCCGU